Molecule: ribosomal RNA, 440 nt
Filed under: uncultured bacterium
Lineage: Bacteria
Description: partial 16S ribosomal RNA
Rfam family: Bacterial small subunit ribosomal RNA
Source: RNAcentral
CCUACGAGUGGCAGCAGUAGGGAAUAUUGCACAAUGGGGGAAACCCUGAAGCAGCAACGCCGCGUGGAGGAUGAAGGUUUUAGGAUUGUAAACUCCUUUUGUUAGAGAAGAUUAUGACGGUAUCUAACGAAUAAGCACCGGCUAACUCCGUGCCAGCAGCCGCGGUAAUACGGAGGGUGCAAGCGUUACUCGGAAUCACUGGGCGUAAAGCGUGCGUAGGCGGGGUAAUAAGUCAGAGGUGAAAGCCUGUAGCUUAACUACAGAACUGCAUUUGAAACUGUUACUCUGGAGUGUGGGAGAGGUAGGUGGAAUUCUUGGUGUAGGGGUAAAAUCCGUAGAGAUCAAGAGGAAUACUCAUUGCGAAGGCGACCUGCUGGAACAUUACUGACGCUGAUGCACGAAAGCGUGGGGAGCAAACAGGAUUAGAUACCCUUGUAGUC